RNAcentral lists this ribosomal RNA (438 nucleotides) under uncultured bacterium. Its description in RNAcentral is "bacterial SSU rRNA". It matches the Rfam family "Bacterial small subunit ribosomal RNA", at positions 29 to 507 of the family's 1533-position model. The record is from RNAcentral.
AACGAACGCUGGCGGCAGGCCUAACACAUGCAAGUCGAGCGGGCAUCCUUCGGGAUGUUAGCGGCGGACGGGUGAGUAACGCGUGGGAACGUGCCCUUUGCUACGGAAUAGCCUCGGGAAACUGAGAGUAAUACCGUAUGUGCCCUUCGGGGGAAAGAUUUAUCGGCAAAGGAUCGGCCCGCGUUGGAUUAGGUAGUUGGUGGGGGUAAUGGCCUACCAAGCCGACGAUCCAUAGCUGGUUUGAGAGGAUGAUCAGCCACACUGGGACUGAGACACGGCCCAGACUCCUACGGGAGGCAGCAGUGGGGAAUCUUAGACAAUGGGGGAAACCCUGAUCUAGCCAUGCCGCGUGAGCGAUGAAGGCCUUAGGGUUGUAAAGCUCUUUCAGUGGGGAAGAUAAUGACGGUACCCACAGAAGAAGCCCCGGCUAACUCCGUG